RNAcentral lists this ribosomal RNA (462 nucleotides) under Ligilactobacillus salivarius. RNAcentral describes it as "bacterial SSU rRNA". It matches the Rfam family "Bacterial small subunit ribosomal RNA", at positions 28 to 466 of the family's 1533-position model. Lineage: Bacteria; Bacillati; Bacillota; Bacilli; Lactobacillales; Lactobacillaceae. The record is from RNAcentral.
GACGAACGCUGGCGGCGUGCCUAAUACAUGCAAGUCGAACGAAACUUUCUUACACCGAAUGCUUGCAUUCACCGUAAGAAGUUGAGUGGCGGACGGGUGAGUAACACGUGGGUAACCUGCCUAAAAGAAGGGGAUAACACUUGGAAACAGGUGCUAAUACCGUAUAUCUCUAAGGAUCGCAUGAUUCUUAGAUGAAAGAUGGUUCUGCUAUCGCUUUUAGAUGGACCCGCGGCGUAUUAACUAGUUGGUGGGGUAACGGCCUACCAAGGUGAUGAUACGUAGCCGAACUGAGAGGUUGAUCGGCCACAUUGGGACUGAGACACGGCCCAAACUCCUACGGGAGGCAGCAGUAGGGAAUCUUCCACAAUGGACGCAAGUCUGAUGGAGCAACGCCGCGUGAGUGAAGAAGGUCUUCGGAUCGUAAAACUCUGUUGUUAGAGAAGAACACGAGUGAGAGUAACU